This 253-nucleotide ribosomal RNA is filed under the name uncultured bacterium. Its description in RNAcentral is "partial 16S ribosomal RNA". It matches the Rfam family "Bacterial small subunit ribosomal RNA", at positions 524 to 776 of the family's 1533-position model. The record is from RNAcentral.
UACGAAGGGGGCUAGCGUUGCUCGGAAUUACUGGGCGUAAAGCGCGCGCAGGCGGCUAUCCAAGUCAGUGGUGAAAGCCCGGAGCUCAACUCCGGAACUGCCAUUGAAACUGUUUAGCUUGAGGACGAGAGAGGUGAGUGGAAUUCCCAGUGUAGAGGUGAAAUUCGUAGAUAUUGGGAAGAACACCGGUGGCGAAGGCGGCUCACUGGCUCAUUACUGACGCUCAGGCGCGAUAGCGUGGGGAUCAAACAGG